Molecule: transfer RNA, 58 nt
Filed under: Crenobia alpina
Lineage: Eukaryota; Metazoa; Platyhelminthes; Tricladida; Planariidae
Description: tRNA-Thr
Source: RNAcentral
UUCAUUUGAUUUUUAGUUUUGUAGUCUUUAGGUAGGGUCAGUUUGUCCUUGAAGGAAA